This 2846-nucleotide long non-coding RNA is filed under the name Cavia porcellus (domestic guinea pig). RNAcentral describes it as "lncRNA (ENSCPOG00000033009.1)". The stretch from base 1061 to 1124 matches the Rfam family "tRNA". The record is from RNAcentral. Lineage: Eukaryota; Metazoa; Chordata; Mammalia; Rodentia; Caviidae.
GGUGACCCAUAGGGCAGAGAGAAUGCCGGGGUGCACCAAAGCCCUGCGGCACUGAGGCUAAGCUGCCAGGCCUGAGGAGCCCUGGGAGCAGCCCGAGCCCUUCCCGGAGCUGCUCUGCCCGGAGCUCAGGCAUGCGUCUUCCAAGACCUUCGAUGUCCCUGUACCUUCAUGUGACUCUCCAGCUCUGUCUUUUACUUCUCUCUGCCAAAACGACUGCGGCUUUAGUCUUCGGGCUUCUAGGAGCGUCUCCUUCUCUCCGGGGUCAUAAAGCAGCUUUCUGUUGGCCCAAGCCCAGGACUCCUGCUUCUGCGACACUGUUCACUCCGGCUCUCCGUCCCAGGCCUCUUCCCUUCCCGUCACCUGCCCUUGCCUCAGGGCUUCGGCUUCCUGUCACCCUGGCCCCUCACCCUCCGGUGUCUCCCGAAGAGCAGCCCAUUCUCUUUCUUUUGUUUCCCCUCACUCUGCUCUCCUUGGGCUUUGCAGUGACUUUAAACACAUGUGCUUAAACUGGGCGUGGUGGCACAGGCCUGUAAUCCCAGUACUCAGGAGGCUGAGGCAGAGGAUCUCCAUGAGUUCAAGGCCAGCCGGGGAUACAAACUGAGUUCAGGGUCAGCCUGCACUGCAUAGUGAGACCAUCUCAACAAAAAACCACACGUGCUUCCCUUCCUCCUGCCGUGUUUCUGUAAUAACCAAUGUUUUUGUUGGGUAUUUGUUUUUUGAUGUGGUAGUAAGCAUCAAACCCAGGACCUUAACACUGUGCUGCGUCCCCAGCCCCGAGUCCCCAAAUUGCCUAGUCUGGGCCCUUAUUAUUUGUGCUCCUUAGAUUUUUUAUUUUAAAAAUUAGAGUAAUACAAGAGUUUCUCUUUUGUCCUACUUUCUAAAAUGACCAUAAAAGAAUUUUUAAAAGCUAACCCCAAAGGCUAAAACAAAUGAAGGAAGAAAAAUGACCUUACAGAUUUAUGGAAGAUGGAAAUUGGGUGGAAGUGUGACAAUUGAUUUGGCAGGCAGAGGAAGCAGCAGUUUAAGGGACAGAAAAUCAAAAAUGUGAAUGAAGGGGGCUGGGGGUUUAGCUCAGUGGCAUAAGCACCUGCCUUGCAAGCAGGCGGUUGUGAGUUCGAUCCCCGGUACCGAUAAAAAUGAAAAAGACAAACAAACAAACAAACAAACAAAAAAAUGUGAAUGAAAAGCAUUUCACUCCGCAGAAACUCCGGGAGGCUCAGUCCCUACGGGAGCAGUCUGCAUGUACAGCCACAAUGAGACCCAGGACCCCAUUCCCCUUUCAUGGGCAGCUACAAAGAUGAACAAAAACUCCAGACAUCCCAGGAAAACCUGCAGCACAGGCUUCACAAAACAAAGACAGGACAAAAAGUUCCCGGGGAAAGUAGAGCCAUUGCAGGAAAAAUUUAAAAACAAUCAUACUUGUAAGACUUUGCAAGGGCGACCCACUUCCGGACCCCCUUCUAUCUCACUCUGAUAGAAGCUUUUCUUCCUUUUGAUAAAUUCUUCCUACUCCAGAAGGAGAGAGAGAGAGAGAGAGAGACAGAGAGAGAGAGAGAGAGAGAGAGAGAGAGAGAGAGAGAGGGUUUACAUCCUCAAAAGAAUAGGAGUGAGGAGUGUAGCGAACACCUGUGGUCCCAGCACUGGGGAAGGGAGGCUGAGGCAGGAGCAUCACCUGGAAUUCAACGCCAACCUAGGCUACAUAGUGGGUUCAAGGCCAGUGUGGACUGCACAGCAAGACCCUUCUCAAAAAAGAAAUCAAAAGAGCAACAGGAAUGUGUGUGUACAUCACAUACUGCUAAGUUUGGCUCUGAAUCGUCCUGUUUCCACGAGGGGAGGGGGGUUCACCAGCACGGUGUGUUCAGCAGGCUCACCCACCCUGAGCUCGGGAGCUGGAGGUCCUGCUGGAGGAGGCCCACAGGUGGUGCUCUUGGGGUGGCCUAGAAGGGAGGGCUCCAGCUGCUCCUGCCUGAGGCCUGGCUACACUGGGCCAGCGGACUCUGCAGCCUUUUGAGGUCUCAGUUCAUUGACCUGUGAGCGCAUACAAAUCACUCCUCUUCUCAGAUGUGGGCGUGGGCAUUUUUUACAGCAAUGGAAAACUAAUACAUAUUUUAUGUCUUCUGUAUAAUAAACUCUGUCAUCAAUUUAUGUAAUUUUAUAUAUAUAUCUUAAUUCACAAGAAAGAACUUGGUUCAUUAUAUGUUUCAUGUAUUUGUAUGUAUACAUCAAAAAAGCUCAUGGAAAUGGAAGAAACAGAAAGUAGAUCAAAAAGAGAACAAGACAAAAAAUUUUUUAAAAAAGACUAUUCUGAAGGUCCAAUUAAUAAGAAGUAUGAAACAGAAAAGAAAUUAAACAGAAGGUAUUUAUCCAAGAAAUAAAACGAGAACGUGUCUGAGAGGAAAAGACAUGAUCUGAAGCAUGCCCCAAGCAAGGCGCCAGGCCUCACACUAAGAUGUGCAUUGUUAGUUUUGUGUCUGUCUGUGACACGGUCUCACUCUGUAGUCCAGGCUGGCCUCGAAUUCAAGGCAAUCUUCCUGCCUCAGCGCCCCCUUCUAGGAGAGUUUGGGACAGCUGCCUGGUGAUCAGAAGAGUGGAGAUGGAUAAAGCAGCAAUUUCUUAUAGCCUCCUCAUGGCCUGGAGAUGCAGCUUGGUGGUAGAAUGCUUGGCUGUUAUGUGUGAGGCUGUGGGUUCAAACCCUGGCACCAUAAGCUUGAAAAGCUUUUUUGUACUUUGUCUCUUUAAAACUAUAAAUAGUCAGGUGUGACAGUGCUGCCCCUCUGUAAUCCCAGUUUUCGGGAGGCUGGGGCAGGAGGAUCUCUGUGAUUUCAAGCCUAGCUGAGCUACACAUC